AACGGCCGUACCAUGCUGAAUAUACCGGUUCUCGUUAGAUCACCGAAGUCAAGCAUCAUUGGGCGCGGUCAGUACUUGGGUGGGUGACCACCUGGGAACACUGUGUGCCGUU
Caerostris darwini is the source of this 112-nucleotide non-coding RNA. Lineage: Eukaryota; Metazoa; Arthropoda; Arachnida; Araneae; Araneidae. The record is from the annotation of a GenBank genome assembly.